UACGUAGGGUCCAAGCGUUAUCCGGAAUCACUGGGCGUAAAGCGUGCGUAGGUGGAUUGUUAAGUGCGGUGCGAAAUCCUGUGGCUCAACCAUAUGGACUGUAUCGCAUACUGGCAAUCUAGGGGACAUGAGAGGCAAGUGGAAUUACUGGUGUAGCAGUGAAAUGCGUAGAGAUCAGUAGGAACACCAAUGGCGAAGGCAGCUUGCUGGCACGUAUCUGACGCUAAGGCACGAAAGCGUGGGGAGCGAACAGG
This 254-nucleotide ribosomal RNA is filed under the name uncultured bacterium. Its description in RNAcentral is "partial 16S ribosomal RNA". It matches the Rfam family "Bacterial small subunit ribosomal RNA", at positions 524 to 776 of the family's 1533-position model. The record is from RNAcentral.